GUGGAUUAGAUACCCGGGUAGUCCACGCCGUAAACGAUGUCGACUAGCCGUUGGGAUCCUUGAGAUCUUAGUGGCGCAGCUAACGCAUUAAGUCGACCGCCUGGGGAGUACGGCCGCAAGGUUAAAACUCAAAUGAAUUGACGGGGGCCCGCACAAGCGGUGGAGCAUGUGGUUUAAUUCGAAGCAACGCGAAGAACCUUACCUGGCCUUGACAUGCUGAGAACUUUCCAGAGAUGGAUUGGUGCCUUCGGGAACUCAGACACAGGUGCUGCACGGCCGUCGACAGCU
Molecule: ribosomal RNA, 288 nt
Filed under: uncultured bacterium
Lineage: Bacteria
Description: partial 16S ribosomal RNA
Rfam family: Bacterial small subunit ribosomal RNA
Source: RNAcentral